Molecule: long non-coding RNA, 274 nt
Filed under: Nicotiana benthamiana
Lineage: Eukaryota; Viridiplantae; Streptophyta; Magnoliopsida; Solanales; Solanaceae
Description: long non-coding RNA (NBEN_LNC015789)
Source: RNAcentral
CAAGCUGACAGCCUACUGCAAGUUUCUCUUUUAUCCGAGCUUGGGGCCAGCAAUUUGAGCAAGCUCACUACAAGAAAAUAGCUUUUCCGACUACCAAAAUAGGUGAAAAGUAGUCGGAAAAGUAUAUGUUCCGGCUACUUUCUGACUGUUUUCACGUAGCUGGAAAAUGGUACGUCAGAAAAACAUGUCCAACUACUAUAGUCGGAAAAUUUAUUUUGGCAAAGAUCCGAAAAGGUUGGUAUUUUCUGACUGAAGUAGUCUAAUUAUAGUCAGG